AGCGAACGUUAGCGGCGGGCUUAACACAUGCAAGUCGAACGCGAAAGGGAUUCGUCCCCAGUAGCGUGGCGUCCGGGUGAGUAACACGUAGGAAACCUUGCCUAGAGUGGGGGAUAACGUCCCGAAAGGGACGCUAAUACCGCAUAAGCCCACGUCGGCCUCGGCCGAUGCGGGAAAAGAUGGCCUCUGAAUUCAAGCUAUCGCUCAAGGAUGGUCCUGCGGCGCAUCAGCUAGUUGGUGGGUAACGGCCUACCAAGGCGAAGACGCGUAGCUGGUCUGAGAGGAUGAUCAGCCACACUGGCACUGAAACACGGGCCAGACUCCUACGGGAGGCAGCAGUGGGGAAUAUUGGACAAUGGGCGCAAGCCUGAUCCAGCCACGCCGCGUGAGUGAUGAAGGCC
RNAcentral lists this ribosomal RNA (401 nucleotides) under uncultured bacterium. RNAcentral describes it as "bacterial SSU rRNA". It matches the Rfam family "Bacterial small subunit ribosomal RNA", at positions 29 to 416 of the family's 1533-position model. The record is from RNAcentral.